This 903-nucleotide ribosomal RNA is filed under the name Acinetobacter nosocomialis. RNAcentral's name for it is "bacterial SSU rRNA". It matches the Rfam family "Bacterial small subunit ribosomal RNA", at positions 544 to 1452 of the family's 1533-position model. The record is from RNAcentral. Lineage: Bacteria; Pseudomonadati; Pseudomonadota; Gammaproteobacteria; Moraxellales; Moraxellaceae.
AUCGGAUUACUGGGCGUAAGCGCGCGUAGGCGGCUAAUUAAGUCAAAUGUGAAAUCCCCGAGCUUAACUUGGGAAUUGCAUUCGAUACUGGUUAGCUAGAGUGUGGGAGAGGAUGGUAGAAUUCCAGGUGUAGCGGUGAAAUGCGUAGAGAUCUGGAGGAAUACCGAUGGCGAAGGCAGCCAUCUGGCCUAACACUGACGCUGAGGUGCGAAAGCAUGGGGAGCAAACAGGAUUAGAUACCCUGGUAGUCCAUGCCGUAAACGAUGUCUACUAGCCGUUGGGGCCUUUGAGGCUUUAGUGGCGCAGCUAACGCGAUAAGUAGACCGCCUGGGGAGUACGGUCGCAAGACUAAAACUCAAAUGAAUUGACGGGGGCCCGCACAAGCGGUGGAGCAUGUGGUUUAAUUCGAUGCAACGCGAAGAACCUUACCUGGCCUUGACAUAGUAAGAACUUUCCAGAGAUGGAUUGGUGCCUUCGGGAACUUACAUACAGGUGCUGCAUGGCUGUCGUCAGCUCGUGUCGUGAGAUGUUGGGUUAAGUCCCCGCAACGAGCGCAACCCUUUUCCUUAUUUGCCAGCGAGUAAUGUCGGGAACUUUAAGGAUACUGCCAGUGACAAACUGGAGGAAGGCGGGGACGACGUCAAGUCAUCAUGGCCCUUACGGCCAGGGCUACACACGUGCUACAAUGGUCGGUACAAAGGGUUGCUACACAGCGAUGUGAUGCUAAUCUCAAAAAGCCGAUCGUAGUCCGGAUUGGAGUCUGCAACUCGACUCCAUGAAGUCGGAAUCGCUAGUAAUCGCGGAUCAGAUGCCGCGUGAAUACGUUCCCGGGCCCUUGUACACACCGCCCGUCACACCAUGGGAGUUUGUUGCACAGAGUAGCUAGCCUACUGCAAGAGGGCG